UGGUCUCUCUUCCUUUAGACCAAGCACGGGUACGGAGUAGAUGGAGUUAAACACCUUUUAAGUUGACAGAACGAGGAGACAAAUGAUCAGAAGUCCAUUCACUGUUUCACCGCUCAUGAGGGGGAGAGCCUUUGCAACAUACAGCCGGUCCCGCGACCUGCUCCCGUCAGUUGCUUCGGACAGACUCUCGCCGUUCUGCUGAAAACGGCUGAUUUUUAUUGAAGAUUACAGGAAUGUUACAUACGUAGUUUGCCAUACACACACGUAAUUCUGCCAUCUGCACCUGCAGACGCACGUCAGCUAAUAGCCUUGUUAAUGAAAGACCAAUUCAUCCCAAGGACAUGCAACCUUGAGAUGAUCAGGACACAUCCUGCAACAUCCUUUGCUAACAAAGACAGUUGUUCUUGUAUUGAGGAACUGAAGGAAGGAACGCUUUCACUCCCUUAUGCAGCUGUUCAGCUUGAGCAGAAAAGGCACAGAGAGGUCUUUGAUAUUAUAACAAGAUUCCAUGAAAAGGCAUAUAAUAAUGUAUUUAUGAUAAUAUAUAAGGGGCAAAAGUGAGAGAUACAUAUUUAAUCAUAUAAAAGAGCUUAUAAUAAUAUAUGAAAGAGCUUAUAUGAGAGAUAUAUAUUUUCAAUCCCCCUUUUGAACUCUUUUAAGAGUUCAAUAAAGAUAUAAGAAAUCAAAACAAUAACACCAAAUUCCAUCAAAAAGAAUCCAAUAAGCAAAGUUUUAAAAUACCAAUACAAACAACCAAUCAGAUUACAUUUACUCAUCUUUCUAGCAGUAAACUAAUACAAAAAACAUGAUCAUACUUUCAACUGAACAUGUUACAACAUGUAUGGAUCGCAUGCAACUCCAUAUGAGGGCGAAAAACCCUAAUUAUCAUAUGUUUAUAGGGAAAAUUCCCCCAUGUCCCCCCAUUUGUCAUAUCUCAAUUUUGGGGCGAACACCUGUUGGCAUAGAGUGUGCAUGCCUAGGACAUCAAUGAUCAAAAGAAAUAAAAACAACACAAUCAAAAAACUCAUAGAAAUAAACAGUUUAAGGGAUUGUUACAGAAAUCACUCAAUAUUCUCACACUCUAACAACAUCUUCUUCAUCAUGAGAGUCAUCACUUUCAUCAGAGGGUUCCCCUCCCAAAUAGAUGUUAGGAUUGGCUAGUAACAAGGGCAUCUGGAUAAUUGGGUCAGCAGGUGGAGGGUGUAAAAUAUUACCCUUGUAAAAUAAAUGAGGGUGUUAAAUACAACCCUUGUAGAAUGUUCAUAGGGUGGUUACUUCUUCCCCCUGUUGAGGACCCUUCACUGGCUCCAGGCAGCUGCAGGGGGUGAUGAUGUCAUGAUUCUCGUCCUGCAGGAUGUGGUGGUAGCUUGGCAUGCUACUGCAGUCAGCUACUUCUCUUCCUGGUUUUUGGAUCCUUUCUCUGGUUAGGCAGAUGUCAGCUGCUUCUCUUCCAGGUUAGGCUCCUCCCGUCCAGCCGGACAGCGUGUGAUGUCCUCUCCGUGAUCCUGUAUGGCCCGGUCCACCUCGGUUCCGUCCACUUCCUUUUGGUGACUUUUAGCAGGACCCAGACGCCUGGCACCGAAGACGAAGCCUCUUCGUGUGUGUAGUUUUGGUCCAAUGAAGGCUUUCUCGGCUUGUGCAGUCCUUGAUCUCGGCAGAUAGUUGGUAGGAAGAUUCACACUCCGGCCGGACCAGAAGUUCCCCGGACCGAUCGCCUAGGGAUUAGAGGUUAUGCACAAAAAUGUCCUAGCUCUUACUGACCCUAGCCUCUGAUACCUUCAACAUCAGACACAUACAGUUACGAACAGCAAGUGCAAUUAAAGGUACAGUGACAUCACGACAUGGACACACAGACACACAAACACAUACACAUGCACAUACACAGAGAGAGAGAGGGAGAGAGUAAGAAUGUGUGUGGGAGAAAGAAAUGUGUGGGAUCCAUUUUGCCACCAGCAUCUCCACCUGUGUCACAGAGAAAAAAUUGCAAAGAAAUUAAAACAUAAAGCAAACAACAAUAAUUCAAUGAGUAUAAAUGAUCAAACUAAAAUAUACAACCAUGCAUGGGUUUUAUAACAGUUCCAGCAACACUGGAGAUGAUGCCUUGUACAAUGAAUUCUUAAGAUGUCCUUCAUUAAUUAGAGGUUAUAACCAAAUUGUUUCAGGAUCCUGAAUUUGAAUUUGAAUUGGUUAAUUUACUCAGAAUAGUCCAAUGUCUUUGUUGAUGUUUCUCAAGGCUCGGCCAUGCCCAUAUAGAUAAAUAAACAAACAAACAAGACAAACACAGUCAAACACACGGUCCAUACACGUCUCUGUGCCCUCACACACCAAGCAAAUGUCAGACUGAAGCGAAAGUGUGAAAUACUUAACCUAACGCUAAAUCAGUGGAAAGAAAAAAUAAGACCUAAGGCGUGUAAUCAAAUUAAUCCAACAAAACUUCCCAUAACUGCCGUUCUAAACUCAUGUUGCGGUGUGAUCUCUCCAAUUAAAAAUUAGGACAACCACUUUUACUAUCAAUUCAACCAAAUAGUUUCAGGUUGUCCCUUACCUAAACUACCUGUCUUUCUUACCUUCUUUCUUUCUUUCUUUCUUUCUUUUUUAGGAACACUACUCGCACAAGAAAUCCUAAGAAUUAAUUCACUACUUAAGGUUAAUUCAUAAAUAACGAAACUGCAGUUACAGGUUUGUUUGUGCAUAGUAUUGGUAAUCAGCAGUUUUUUUUUUCCUUAUCUCCUCAUCUAGAAGUGUUUCUGUGCUACUCCUUCAUCUAUAACACAAGUUAGUAUCAUCCUUAAAGCAUCUGAAAUUAAGCUGCAUUGCUAAAUCAAUAACGUGAUUUGUGCUAAGAGAUACUCCCCUAUCCUCUUCCUUUUUCCAGUGGCGCUGAAUGACAGAUUUUAGAUCAAUUUAACGUUUUAUCACUAUUACGUUUCAUUUAAUUAAUUUUGCUUUUUCUCUCUUAUUUUUGUCUAUUUAUUUAUUUAUGUUAUUUACUUAUUUAUCAUGCCAUCCUGUGAUGAUAAUCUUAAAGACUUUUUAGCCAAUUGUCGUCAAAAAGGCCAAUUAAAAAUAUUAUGUUAAAGAUUUCACAAGAUAAAAAUGUGAACAUAAUUUUUAUCGAAUGAGGGGUACAAUUAUUCAAUAUUUUUGUGACAUUAUUUUCUACGUUAGAACUUACAGCUGAUAGAAAAAUAUAGGAUCAGCUAGGUUUGGCUAGAUCUGUUGGGAAACUCAACGGAGCUGAAACAACACUGUUGUCUCGGAUGAGAUGUUCCAUGAAUCAUUUAGUCAGCUGAAUGCCAAAUUAUUCAUUUAAUGUUUAUUUUUAUGCAAUGAAUGGAAUGGGAUGGAACGUUACUAUAAACUGUCCGGAAAUUUGCGCAUGUUUGCUCGAAGGAGAAAACUGUUGAAGCCUAAAGCGUUCUCCUAGACUUAUAAAUAGACACCGUUUCCUUAACUAAUGAAGAUAAGUGAUGACGCCGAUGAAUGACUUUUUGAAAAGAAAAUAAGGCUUUACUGCAUGUCCGCUGCAGCUGAGAAUCCUAAGACAAUAAAGAUUAUAUUGACGUCCAAUGGUGAGUUGGGCUGAAAUCCAGGUUACUAAUCCUAUUAUUUAUUUAUUUAUUGAUAUUAUUAGUAUCUUUUUUUAGGCUAACUUUCUCAGUUAACUAUGUUCUACAGUAGUUUAGUAAAUUUUCCACAGUUCUGACAUUUCAUCAAUUCAACUGGUUGUUGCCAAAAAGCCUUGUUCAUUACCUGACUGCAGCAAGCACUCUUUUACUGGGUGUAACCAUAGGAAACAGUCUCUUUUGAGCCUCUCUUUGUAAGUCCAGGAUGACCACCGUCAUUGAUUGAAGUUCACAUGUUAGCACACAUGCUCCCCCUUUUGUACUUUGUUUCAUCAGCAGCAGGGCAAAUAAGUUUCUGCCUCUUUGUCCAUCUUGUAGUGCUCCCCGUCUUUAUGUUAUGAGUCACAGCUUUUGGUGAGGGCUUCCAGGUUCUCUUUGUAUAGAAGUCAGAGCCAAACAUUCUUUGCAGCUGGUUGUGACAGGCCCACCCAGUAAAGUUCAUGCCUGCCACAAUGCACAGCAAACGUUUUCCUUAAAUAUGUUGAUUGAGUUAAAAUGACAGAACUUUCUCUUUUACAAAUCAAAAUCAACGAUGGUUUCUAAUAUUUAGUCGACUUUAUUGACUCAAAGGUAAAUCUAGACUACUUCCUAUGCACAAUUUUUCUGAAUCGUCAAAUCGGUUCUACACAGGUUUUAAACUUUAGGCACAAUCUAUCCCAAAUGCAAGAUCCCUCCUUUCAUUUUUUAUUUAUCUAUUUUAUUUUGGGAAAAUAACUACCAGUUUUUAACUCAAAACAGCCUAGUACAGUUUCUAGCCAGGUUACAGGAAAUAAUACUUAGUUUAUCUGUUUUUUCAUUAUUCAGCGUCCCAAAAUCCAGCCAUUAACGUUAAUGGUUCUUAAAGUUGAGGCAAGACAAUUAUUGGAUUUUGUUUUAUAGCAAGAUUUAACAAAUAUUUUAUUUCCUUACUGAUUAUUUGUUAAUUUUAUGGUUUUCAUAAAGAUGAUCCUGAGAGGUUCAGAGCUGCUUUUCGCAGCGCCCUGUGCUAUUUUUAGACUGCGGGACUCCUGUGUGUAAAAGUGGGUGGAGUCAGGUCCCCAGGCUGAAACUCCAGUCAUUCUCACUAGAUCUGUCCGAGAGGAAGGAUCUCCUGAAUACCCUAACCAGAAGCCUUAAGUCUCUUGAACUAAAUAACCGUCUAGCAAAAACAUGGACCGCACCCUGUUUCUCAAGCAGCUGCUCCCUCUAUUAAAAACUGAGUCAUUCAGAAGAUCCAGCGAAAGCAGCUCAUGCAAGAAGACACACAUUCACUCAUUCACAUGGCACAGACGACAUUCUUUGUUUGUCACAGUCUUUUUUUUUAAGUAAGUCAGUUCGUCACUUAUUUAUUCUCUCUCUAUAUAUAUAUAAUAUUUUAAGCACAGAAUUUAUUUUAACAUUGCACUGGUUAUUUUCAGAAUUUAAUGCUUACUAUGCUUUUAAGCAGGCCUUAUGUAACAUUAGCGCAAAUCCAAUUGCAAUUUCUUUGAGAGCGCUCUUGAGGAAUAGUUUAUAUAUUUAUUUUCUGCAGAUCUGUUUUGAUUUUACUGUUUAGCAGCUAUAUGACUAUAUUUCUAAAAUAAAGCUGUCAUUUACAUCCUUA
Non-coding RNA from Nothobranchius furzeri (turquoise killifish), 5208 nucleotides. NCBI's taxonomy places the organism in Eukaryota, Metazoa, Chordata, Actinopteri, Cyprinodontiformes, Nothobranchiidae. The record is from RefSeq and is a predicted model, not a curated record.